Molecule: transfer RNA, 58 nt
Filed under: Bos taurus (domestic cattle)
Lineage: Eukaryota; Metazoa; Chordata; Mammalia; Artiodactyla; Bovidae
Also listed under: 4 other names
Source: Rfam by way of RNAcentral
UGGCUCAGACAGUAAAGCGUCUGCCUACAAUGCAGGAGGACCCGGGUUCGAUCCCUGG